Salvia miltiorrhiza (redroot sage) is the source of this 1615-nucleotide long non-coding RNA. RefSeq lists it as uncharacterized. The transcript has 2 exons. The record is from RefSeq and is a predicted model, not a curated record. Lineage: Eukaryota; Viridiplantae; Streptophyta; Magnoliopsida; Lamiales; Lamiaceae.
ACUAUGAUUAGAACUAUGGUGUUGAGCAUCUAUAACAAUCUUGCUAAGAUUUUCGGUUGCCAUAGUAAGCAAGUUUAUAUCUGGGUGUAGCAUAUACUUCCAUGUAUUAUGUGACUUGGCAUGGUUUGACUCUUGAGAUGUAUAUAAUUUUGGCCUAUGCAUGGUGAUAUUUCCUAAAGAAAAUCAAUAUUUUAUGGUAAAUUUGUUUAGCCCUAUCUAUAAGGGCUCUCAUAUUUUACUAAUAUAUAUAUGUGCUUAAGAAUUUUUGUAGCACAGGAUAAACAAAUUUGGGGAAUGAUUUGAACAAUUAUGGUAAAUACCAUAAUGUAAAACAGGGUUACCCACUAGUAAGUGGUAAUUCAGGUAUUUCGCUGAACUCUAUCAAUGAGAGGAGCAUGAUUGGGAUAUGUGAUAUUUUAUCACUUGGGCAUGAUUUACAUGAUCUUUGAUGAGAUUUGAAAUUUGAAUGAAUUCAUCGGUAUACGAAUAUGGGAAUCAAGUUGUGGCAAUGGAUUAUAUAAUCUAGUGUUCGAAUUCUCUUUGCAGCCCUGUCUCAAGGGGCUCUCAUAUUUUACUAAUAUUUUCGUUCAAGAGUUCUUACAGCACAUGAUAAACAGCUUUGGGAAAAAAUUUGAACAAGUAUGGUAAUCAUCAUAACACGAAAAGCUAAUCCACUUGUAAGUGGUAAUUCAGCAAGUCAAAGGAAAAACAGAGGGAUCAUGCUCCAGCAGAGCAGGGGGAUCAUGCUCCACCAGAACAGAGGGAAGCGCUCGUAAGCCGCGAAAGUUGGUUGUGCCAUCCGGGCCUUCCAUGCUCCGCGCAGAGGGAGGGAAGCGCUCGUAAGCCGCGAAAGUUGGUUGCGCCACUCGGGCCCUCCAUGCUCCGCGCAGAAAUCAUCGUGUAGUCGUAAGCCGCGAAAGUUGGUUGCGCCACCCGGGCCCUCCAUGCUCCGCGCAGAUAUCACCGUUUAGUCGUAAGCCGCGAAAGUUGGUUGCGCCACCCGGGCCCUCCAUGCUCCGCGCAGAAAUCAUCGUGUAGUCGUAAGUCGCGAAAGUUGGUUGCGCCACCCGGGCCCUCCAUGCUCCGCGCAGAUAUCACCGUUUAGCCGUAGCCCUCCAUGCUCCGUGCAAAUCUAACUUGGAACUACAAUUCCAAAGUCAAGGGGAAAAUGCUUAUUUUUGCUUUCUUACAGUAUUAAAACUCUUAUGUCUUCAUGAUUUGCAGGGAUUAAGGAAAACAGCACAACACUGACUUUAACAAUACUUCGUUGGUUGAAUACGAAGAAUACCCGGUUCAACCAGACUAGGGGGGAGUAGCUGAUGAGGACUGAAAUAUGCACCAGCGUUGUGCUAAACAAGGGAAUUACUGCAGCAGCGCAGCUCGACUCUCGGUUCGACUAGGGAGCGAAGCUCAUGUAAUAGGGGCUUGAGCCCAAUUAUUUAGGGCUAGUGGGCUAAUGGGCCAAAUAGGCUCAAGGCCCUUACUUUCUUCAUUUCCUAUAAAUAGUUCCUUUUAGCUCUCAUUAGAGGAUAGUCAUUAUUUCUUACUCGACAACUUGUAAACUGUAAAUCAUUCUCGAUUAUAGCCGUGGACGUAGGUCUUCUCGACCGAACCA